GACGAACGCUGGCGGCGUGCUUAACACAUGCCAGUCGAACGGAAAGGCCCUGCUUUUGUGGGGUGCUCGAGUGGCGAACGGGUGAGUAACACGUGAGUAACCUGCCCUUGACUUUGGGAUAACUUCAGGAAACUGGGGCUAAUACCGGAUAGGAGCUCCUGCUGCAUGGUGGGGGUUGGAAAGUUUCGGCGGUUGGGGAUGGACUCGCGGCUUAUCAGCUUGUUGGUGGGGUAGUGGCUUACCAAGGCUUUGACGGGUAGCCGGCCUGAGAGGGUGACCGGCCACAUUGGGACUGAGAUACGGCCCAGACUGCUACGGGGGGCAGCAGCGGGGAAUAUUGCACAAUGGGCGGAAGCCUGAUGCAGCAACGCCGCGUGCGGGAUGACGGCCUUCGGGUUGUAAACCGCUUUCGCCUGUGACGAAGCGUGAGUGACGGUAAUGGGUAAAGAAGCACCGGCUAACUACGUG
This 468-nucleotide ribosomal RNA is filed under the name uncultured bacterium. Its description in RNAcentral is "partial 16S ribosomal RNA". It matches the Rfam family "Bacterial small subunit ribosomal RNA", at positions 28 to 507 of the family's 1533-position model. The record is from RNAcentral.